GCCCACUUCUUUGCAUUGUCACACAUGCUUCAGUGCUCUGAGAGUGUUUAUAGUGCUGUGAGUUUAACACUUCAUGACUGAGAGCAGAACAGAACACAAUCUUCAUCAUCACACAAGACAAAAGAACAACAAUGAACACAAUCACCUUCUUCAUCUGGACUCUCACACUGUUUAUUCAAGAAUCCAGAGGAGUGACUCUGACUCAACCUGAAGUUAAAACUGUCCAACAGGGUCAAACAGCUACAAUAGAGUGUCAUAUAGAUGUAGGAAUAUACAGCAGCUACUUAGCCUGGUAUCAGCAGAAACCUGGAGAAGCUCCUAAACUCCUGAUUUAUUAUAUAAACACCCUCCAGUCAGGAACUCCAUCUAGAUUCAGUGGCAGUGGAACAGCAAGUACUGGACGAGAUUUCACUCUGACCAUCAGUGGAGUCCAGAAUGAAGAUACAGGAGAUUAUUACUGUCAGAGUUGGCACUAUGUCAACAGUAAAUAUGUGUUCACACAGUGAUAAAGAGUGGUACAAAAACCUCGGUCAGUCAGACGUCACAGUGAUGCACUGAUACAGCUGAGAGAUACUGCAGCUGCUGAUGGAGGAUCACAAACAACACAAUGGCCUCACUGAGCCAUCGGAUUUCAACAAAAAUGUCUUAAUUUGUGUUCCGAAGAUCAACAAAGAUCUUACGGGUGUAAAACGGCACGAGUAAUUAAUGACAGAAUUUUCAUUUUUGGGUGAACUAACCCUUUAAGAGAACGAUAACAAGGUGGCCAUGGACACUUCAUCCCCUUGGAAUUAUAAGGUUCUGUCUGCGUUCUGAGCAGUUUUGAGAUAUUGAGCUUCAAAGUUUUUGCAUUCCAUAUAGCAAAAACUAUGUGGGGAACAAGUUUCUUUCAAACAUGAAAAUGACAGGGACAGUAAAUGUAUUCUAAAUGUACAAUAUCAAAAUCCUCUCAAAUUUGUAAAUGGGGAUUUUUGGAACGGGUCAAAUGCAGAUAGAACCUUCUAAUUCUAAUUCUAAAAAAAAAAAAAAACACUUUUCGCUUGGAAUUAUAAGGUUCUAUCUGGUAAAAAAUUAAUUGAAGCAAUAAUUUUCAAGAAACACAAACAGUUUGCUUAUAAUUUCCUUUAAAACAUAAAAUUAGUGUUGUAACAAUGUGUUGACAUGCAUGAGAAAGUUUAAUUUAAUGGUUUUUAUGACAUUUAUUUUUUAUAUUUUAAAUGAAUAUUUAUAUAUGGGUAAUUUAACACAUUAUUGCAGGAACUAUUUAAGUAUAAGUUUCCUUUUGUUUAGACAGAAAGCAGCAAUAUUGUAAAAUUUAAGACAUUUUAAGUCUAAAAAGCUGCAAGAAAACAGACAAUGCUUCAGCUAAAAUUAUCGUUUUUUCAUUAAAGUAGUAAAUCGAACUAACAUUUUCUGUGAUUAAUUAGAUAAUCACAAAAUAGCCUGUACAUACAACAUGAGAGGAACAUUGCGGUUCACUGGAGCUUAAGUUUUAGAUAAAACUUCAUCAGAAUUUAAUAGAUAACAAUAAAAUCAGACUGGAUUUUAAACGAGCUAUAGCCCGCGCCGGAAGUGAAGGCUGGCGUCAGCAACUGAAGACUCAAACAUGUGUCAGCAAUCUUUUAUACUCCAAGUGUAAGAUAAUGAUUGGUUAAAUCAUUAAUCAAUAGGUGACGUAACAUUGAGUCUUCCUGGCAGAACUUACACUAGAGCUUACAUUUUUCUUAAUUGCAUUUACACUCACAGUUAAGACACUUGCGAUUGCAUUUUCAUUAAAUGUCCCGCAAUGAAUGUAACAAAUUUAUUAUUGCUUGCUCUGUCAGUAUGGUUGUAUGUUUUUCUCUUUUUAUCAUUCUGAUUAUUGUUUAUGCAUCAAUUAUAUUAAUAAAACGAUGUGUAGUCCAUCUG
Long non-coding RNA from Ctenopharyngodon idella (grass carp), 1905 nucleotides. RefSeq lists it as uncharacterized. The record is from RefSeq and is a predicted model, not a curated record. The transcript has 3 exons. Lineage: Eukaryota; Metazoa; Chordata; Actinopteri; Cypriniformes; Xenocyprididae.